GGAACAACAGCUGGAAACGGCUGCUAAUACCCCAUAGGCUGAGGAGCAAAAGGAGGAAUCCGCCCAAGGAGGGGCUCGCGUCUGAUUAGUUAGGUGGUGAGGCAAUGGCUUACCAAGGCGACGAUCAGUAGCUGGUCCGAGAGGAUGAUCAGCCACACUGGGACUGAGACACGGCCCAGACUCCUACGGGAGGCAGCAGUGGGGAAUUUUCCGCAAUGGGCGAAAGCCUGACGGAGCAAUGCCGCGUGAUG
RNAcentral lists this ribosomal RNA (251 nucleotides) under uncultured organism. RNAcentral describes it as "partial 16S ribosomal RNA". It matches the Rfam family "Bacterial small subunit ribosomal RNA", at positions 140 to 406 of the family's 1533-position model. The record is from RNAcentral.